This 424-nucleotide ribosomal RNA is filed under the name uncultured bacterium. Its description in RNAcentral is "bacterial SSU rRNA". It matches the Rfam family "Bacterial small subunit ribosomal RNA", at positions 917 to 1344 of the family's 1533-position model. The record is from RNAcentral.
GGGCCCGCACAAGCGGUGGAGCAUGUGGUUUAAUUCGAUGAUACGCGAGGAACCUUACCAGGGCUUAAAUGGGAAAUGACAGGGGCAGAGACGCCCCCUUCUUCGGACAUUUUUCAAGGUGCUGCAUGGUUGUCGUCAGCUCGUGCCGUGAGGUGUCAGGUUAAGUCCUAUAACGAGCGCAACCCCUACCGUUAGUUGCCAGCGAUUCAAGUCGGGGACUCUAACGGGACUGCCGGUGCAAACCGUGAGGAAGGUGGGGACGACGUCAAAUCAUCACGGCCCUUACGUCCUGGGCUACACACGUGCUACAAUGGUCGGUACAGAGGGAAGCUACCCCGCAAGGGGAUGCGGAUCUAUAAAACCGAUCUCAGUUCGGAUCGGGGUCUGCAACUCGACCCCGUGAAGCUGGAAUCGCUAGUAAUCG